RNAcentral lists this ribosomal RNA (228 nucleotides) under uncultured bacterium. RNAcentral describes it as "partial 16S ribosomal RNA". It matches the Rfam family "Bacterial small subunit ribosomal RNA", at positions 524 to 746 of the family's 1533-position model. The record is from RNAcentral.
UACGUAGGGGGCAAGCGUUGUCCGGAAUCAUUGGGCGUAAAGGAGCGCGUAGGCGGCCCAGUAAGUCCGCUCUGAAAGUCAGGAGGCUCAACCCUCUGAAUGCGGGUGGAUACUGGCUGGCUAGAGUCCGGAAGAGGCGAGUGGAAUUCCGUGGAUGUAGCGGUGAAAUGCGCAGAUAUCAGGAGGAACACCGAUGGCGAAGGCAGCUCGCUGGGACGGUACUGACGC